AUACGGAGGGUGCGAGCGUUAAUCGGAAUUACUGGGCGUAAAGGGUGCGUAGGCGGCUUGAUAAGUCGGAUGUGAAAGCCCCGGGCUUAACCUGGGAAUUGCAUUCGAUACUGUCAGGCUAGAGUAUGUCAGAGGUUGGCGGAAUUCCUGGUGUAGCGGUGAAAUGCGUAGAUAUCAGGAAGAACACCAGUGGCGAAGGCGGCUAACUGGGGCAAUACUGACGCUGAGGCACGAAAGCGUGGGGAGCAAACAGGAUUAGAAACCCUAGUAGUCC
RNAcentral lists this ribosomal RNA (274 nucleotides) under uncultured bacterium. RNAcentral describes it as "partial 16S ribosomal RNA". It matches the Rfam family "Bacterial small subunit ribosomal RNA", at positions 523 to 796 of the family's 1533-position model. The record is from RNAcentral.